CCGCCGGCGACCGGCGCACGGGUGAGUAACACGUAUGCAACCUGGCCGUGACAGAUGGAUAACCGGGAGAAAUCCCGCCUAAUACAACAUAAUGCCGGGAGGGGACAUCCCCUGCCGGUCAAAGGGGGCGACCCCGGUCACGGAUGGGCAUGCGGCGCAUUAGGUAGUUGGUAGGGUAACGGCCUACCAAGCCGACGAUGCGUAGGGGUUCUGAGAGGAAGGUCCCCCACAUUGGAACUGAGACACGGUCCAAACUCCUACGGAAGGCAGCAG
This 273-nucleotide ribosomal RNA is filed under the name uncultured bacterium. RNAcentral describes it as "partial 16S ribosomal RNA". It matches the Rfam family "Bacterial small subunit ribosomal RNA", at positions 85 to 354 of the family's 1533-position model. The record is from RNAcentral.